Molecule: small RNA, 169 nt
Filed under: Chelonoidis abingdonii (Abingdon island giant tortoise)
Lineage: Eukaryota; Metazoa; Chordata; Testudines; Testudinidae
Description: TUC338 (ENSCABG00000022231.1)
Source: RNAcentral
CUGGCAGUCCUGGAGGCUCUGAAGUCCCGUGUCUAGCGUCAGUACAGUAUCAUGGGCAACAGCAGUCUACUUUCCCUUCAUACCAGCCCACCAGUAUGUCUAAUCCUGACUUGGAGAGACCACUUCUUGGGGUAGUUCAGUCUCCGUGCCCAUUCAGUCCAACAGUGGU